This 21-nucleotide microRNA is filed under the name Eptesicus fuscus (big brown bat). RNAcentral's name for it is "efu-miR-9267". Lineage: Eukaryota; Metazoa; Chordata; Mammalia; Chiroptera; Vespertilionidae. The record is from miRBase by way of RNAcentral.
UGAGGCCUUGGCUCAGGGAUA